GUGCAUGCUUCAGCAUCACAUAUACUAAAAUUAGAAUGAUACAAAGAUUAUUAGCAUAGCUCCUGUGCAAGGAGAAUGUGAGAAACUGAAAUCUUCCUCUGCUUCUA
This is a small nuclear RNA of Suncus etruscus (white-toothed pygmy shrew), 107 nucleotides long. The record is from RefSeq and is a predicted model, not a curated record. NCBI's taxonomy places the organism in Eukaryota, Metazoa, Chordata, Mammalia, Eulipotyphla, Soricidae.